Molecule: ribosomal RNA, 499 nt
Filed under: uncultured bacterium
Lineage: Bacteria
Description: partial 16S ribosomal RNA
Rfam family: Bacterial small subunit ribosomal RNA
Source: RNAcentral
GACGAACGCUGGCGGCGUGCCUAAUACAUGCAAGUCGAGCGGACCGAACAGGAGCUUGCUCUUGUUCGGUUAGCGGCGGACGGGUGAGUAACACGUGGGUAACCUGCCCGUAAGACCGGGAUAACUCCGGGAAACCGGAGCUAAUACCGGAUAACACCGAAGACCGCAUGGUCUUUGGUUGAAAGGCGGCUUCGGCUGCCACUUACGGAUGGGCCCGCGGCGCAUUAGCUAGUUGGUGAGGUGACGGCUCACCAAGGCGACGAUGCGUAGCCGGCCUGAGAGGGUGACCGGCCACACUGGGACUGAGACACGGCCCAGACUCCUACGGGAGGCAGCAGUAGGGAAUCUUCCGCAAUGGACGAAAGUCUGACGGAGCGACGCCGCGUGAGCGAAGAAGGUCUUCGGAUCGUAAAGCUCUGUUGUUAGGGAAGAAGAAGCGUCGUUCGAACAGGGCGGCGCGGUGACGGUACCUAACGAGAAAGCCCCGGCUAACUACGUG